This 500-nucleotide ribosomal RNA is filed under the name uncultured bacterium. RNAcentral's name for it is "partial 16S ribosomal RNA". It matches the Rfam family "Bacterial small subunit ribosomal RNA", at positions 30 to 523 of the family's 1533-position model. The record is from RNAcentral.
AUUGAACGCUGGCGGAAUGCUUUACACAUGCAAGUCGAACGGCAGCACGGGGGCAACCCUGGUGGCGAGUGGCGAACGGGUGAGUAAUGUAUCAGAACGUGCCCAGUCGUGGGGGAUAACGUAGUGAAAAUUACGCUAAUACCGCAUACGAUCUACGGAUGAAAGCGGGGGAUCGCAAGACCUCGCGCGAUUGGAGCGGCCGAUAUCAGAUUAGGUUGUUGGUGAGGUAAAAGCUCACCAAGCCUGCGAUCUGUAGCUGGUCUGAGAGGACGACCAGCCACACUGGAACUGAGACACGGUCCAGACUCCUACGGGAGGCAGCAGUGGGGAAUUUUGGACAAUGGACGCAAGUCUGAUCCAGCAAUGCCGCGUGCAGGACGAAGGCCUUCGGGUUGUAAACUGCUUUUGUACGGAACGAAACGGUGAGCUCUAAUACAGUUUGCUAAUGACGGUACCGUAAGAAUAAGCACCGGCUAACUACGUGCCAGCCGCCGCCGUAA